This 485-nucleotide ribosomal RNA is filed under the name uncultured Mycobacterium sp. RNAcentral describes it as "bacterial SSU rRNA". It matches the Rfam family "Bacterial small subunit ribosomal RNA", at positions 1 to 507 of the family's 1533-position model. The record is from RNAcentral. Lineage: Bacteria; Bacillati; Actinomycetota; Actinomycetes; Mycobacteriales; Mycobacteriaceae.
AGUACGUUUGACUCUGGCUCAGGACGAACGCUGGCGGCGCGCUUAACACAUGCAAGUCGAACGGAAGGCCUUUCGGGGUACUCGAGUGGCGAACGGGUGAGUAACACGUGGGUGAUCUGCCCUGCACUUUGGGAUAAGCCUGGGAAACUGGGUCUAAUACCGAAUAUACCCUGCUGGUCGCAUGGCCUGGUAGGGAAAGGCUUUUGCGGUGUGGGAUGGGCCCGCGGCCUAUCAGCUUGUUGGUGGGGUGAUGGCCUACCAAGGCGACGACGGGUAGCCGGCCUGAGAGGGUGACCGGCCACACUGGGACUGAGAUACGGCCCAGACUCCUGCGGGAGGCAGCAGUGGGGAAUAUUGCACAAUGGGCGCAAGCCUGAUGCAGCGACGCCGCGUGAGGGAUGACGGCCUUCGGGUUGUAAACCUCUUUCAGCACAGACGAAGCGCAAGUGACGGUAUGUGCAGAAGAAGGACCGGCCAACUACGUG